Long non-coding RNA from Nicotiana attenuata, 435 nucleotides. RefSeq lists it as uncharacterized. The record is from RefSeq and is a predicted model, not a curated record. The transcript is spliced from 3 exons. Lineage: Eukaryota; Viridiplantae; Streptophyta; Magnoliopsida; Solanales; Solanaceae.
CAUCAAUUUCUGACUCUGCAAUGUUCUGUCUCACAAAACUCUCAAAAAUGGCUGCCUUGACAGGAGUUGGUAUAGGGUGUGAAGGAACAUGAAGGAGUAGAGCCAAAUAGGAUUGAGUUCUACAAAAGCACCCAUUACUCGAGUGAAAAAGGAUGGUCAUCUCUAGAGGCUGAGACUAACUACAACAAAAUGAGAGAUUUGAGAGCUCAGUCUAUUUCUGAAGAGAAUCCAAUGACUAUUGAUGAAAUUGUUGAUAAUGUACUUGGUACAAGGUCGGGAUAUAUUAAAGGCCUUGGCUAUGGUCCAAAGCCUAAUACAACUACAGCAACAAAAAGAAGGACAGCAGAAUUAGAGGACGCUCUUAGGAGGGCAAAAGAGGAUGCUGCUACUGCCCAACAUGGUUUACAAGAACGUUUGAAUGUAGCUGAAACUGAG